AAUCAGCCCAUAACACCCAUGGAGAGUUUUGCAGUGCAGGGCACAUCCCAGCUGAGCCUCUCAGAGGAGGCAUGUGGGUUUGAAAGACACAAUAAAGACUUUUCAAACCACUAAUGUGGUUUGUGUGGCACCUGAAAGUGUCCCCAGGCAAACAGGCUCUGCCUGGUGGCAAUGAAAUGCCUGAAAUGCUGCCUGGGCCCUGGCACAGGUUUGGAACCCUUUCAGCCCAAGGAUUAAAGAAGCACACUUUGAAAAAGAAGUGUUUUGACACGUGAUCAUGACCUGCUAUUGCUGUUUGCCACCUCCUCCUUUCAUUCAGUUUCUGGCUGGCUGGGUGACUUCUCCUGCCUGUGCUGAUGUCAAUGCUAUGCAAAGCAGAGUGGGCAUCCUGAGCCUGCCCUUUCCUCUCUGGAAAUCUCUCCUUACAGCUUCCCUUUGCUAUCUGAGCAAGCAAGAAAUGGCUGUAAGAACUACUGGCUACUGUACAGGAAGAUUUAAUGGAAUGACCUGUGGUGGUUGCAGUGAAAUAAAACAUAAAAACAGAGACAGCAGAAGGCAUGAAGAAGCAGAACCUACCAUGGAUUUUCUGCACAGAAAAAAGGUGUGA
RNAcentral lists this long non-coding RNA (607 nucleotides) under Ficedula albicollis (Collared flycatcher). RNAcentral describes it as "lncRNA (ENSFALG00000019423.2)". Lineage: Eukaryota; Metazoa; Chordata; Aves; Passeriformes; Muscicapidae. The record is from RNAcentral.